This 814-nucleotide ribosomal RNA is filed under the name Parmularia styracis. RNAcentral's name for it is "eukaryotic LSU rRNA". It matches the Rfam family "Eukaryotic large subunit ribosomal RNA", at positions 76 to 919 of the family's 3401-position model. Lineage: Eukaryota; Fungi; Ascomycota; Dothideomycetes; Asterinales; Parmulariaceae. The record is from RNAcentral.
UGCCUUAGUAACGGCGAGUGAAGCGGCAACAGCUCAAAUUUGAAAUCGGGCGCAAGUCUGAAUUGUAGUUUGUAGGUGGAUGGUUCGAGUGCGUUCCCGUCGAAAGUCCCCUGGAACAGGGCGUCGCAGAGGGUGAGAAUCCCGUUCGCGACGGGGCGAUGUGCUCGUGUGAGCCUCCAUUGACGAGUCGAGUUGUUUGGGAAUGCAGCUCUAAAGGGGAGGUAAAUUCCUUCUAAAGCUAAAUACUGGCCAGAGACCGAUAGCGAACAAGUAGAGUGAUCGAAAGAUGAAAAGCACUUUGGAAAGAGAGUUAAACAGCACGUGAAAUUGUUGAAAGGGAAGCGCUCACGACCAGACUCGGGUAUGGUUGCUCAGGCCAUCUAUUGGUGGUUGUAUCGGCCGUACCCGGGCCAGCAUCGGUUCUGGCGGCGGGAGAAAAGCGGCGGGAACGUGGCUCCCUUGGGAGUGUUAUAGCCCGCCGUGCAAUGCCGCCAGUCGGGACCGAGGACCGCGUUCGCUAGGAUGCUGGCGUAAUGGUUGUUAGCGGCCCGUCUUGAAACACGGACCAAGGAGUCUACCAUCUACGCGAGUGCUCGGCUGUCAAGGCCUUGCGCGUAAUGAAAGUGAACGGAGGUGGGAACAGUAAUGUGCACCAUCGACCGAUCCUGAUGUCUUCGGACGGAUUUGAGUAGGAGCGUAGCUGGUGGGACCCGAAAGAUGGUGAACUAUGCGUGAAUAGGGUGAAGCCAGAGGAAACUCUGGUGGAGGCUCGCAGCGGUUCUGACGUGCAAAUCGAUCGCAGAAUUUGCGCAUA